Molecule: ribosomal RNA, 234 nt
Filed under: uncultured bacterium
Lineage: Bacteria
Description: partial 16S ribosomal RNA
Rfam family: Bacterial small subunit ribosomal RNA
Source: RNAcentral
GAUCAUGGCUCGGGAUGAACGCUAGCUACAGGCUUAACACAUGCAAGUCGAGGGGCGAGCAUGGUCUUAGCUUGCUAAGGCUGAUGGCGACCGGCGGCACGGGUGAGUAACACGUAUCCAACCUGCCGUCUACUCUUGGCCAGCCUUCUGAAAGGAGAUUAAUCCAGGAUGGGAUCAUGAGUUCACAUGUCCGCAUGAUUAAAGGUAUUUUUCCGGUAGACGAUGGGGGAUCGG